AGGCCCCUUGCACCACUGUACGUGAACCCUGCCAGGCGCUGGGGCUCCCUGCUGGGGAGGUCUCAGACCCAGACCAAAAGAGGACCACUACCGGGGUUGGAGGGUGUCACAGAGGAUGCAACCCCAAAACGGGUCUGGAAGGAAGGCUGGGAUGUAAGUGAAAGGAAGUGGGGCCAUGGAAGCAGCGUGGACAAGGCAAGGAGGCUGAAAGUGAAGAGAGCCGCAGCCCAGAAAGGGAAGGUGGGGCCCGGGUUGGACACUGCCCAGGUCCUGGGUUCCUCCGUUGCCCUCUGCCCGUGGUCAAAGUUCAGUCCCUCCAAAGGGCUCUUCUGGGGGCUUUGGUCAGGCCCUCCGGAGCGCUCGGGGCCGCCAAGGGCACACGAGCCUGCCCGGCCACAAGCGGGCCUGUGCCUGGCGGCGGGGUCCGGAGUGCGCCCGGGGCUGGCGCAGCCCACACGCGUGCACACGGCGGGGUCCGCGCGGGCCGGAAGCCACAGGGCCAGAGCGGGGCGCCGGGAAAGGCAGAGGGGAGCGCGAACAAAGGACACAACAGAGCGGGGGCGGCCCGGCCAGGCAGUGAUAGGCGGCCGGGGUCGGGAGCAGCGUCCGGGCCGGGCCGUGAUUGGGCCGCAGCCUCUCCGGGGGCCCCGGCGCCCGCCCGCCCCUCUCGGCCGAAACCCGAGCCGCCAUCUGCGCCCGGGCGGGGCGCGGGCCCGAGUCGGGUUCCCGCCCAGCCCCGCCGCCAGCCCUCGUCGCGGGCCGGCAACCUGUGCACCGGCCUCCCCCGCUGCCACCCCGGCCCAGCUGCGCUCAGGGUCCCCGGGGUCCAAGCAAAGGGUUGGGCCACCGCCGUGGGGGAAAAGCCCGAUGGGCACUGGAGGGCCAGCGGGCCCGAGGGGACAGGGGACAGGGCCCAGAAAGCAGCUCCGUCCUGGGCCUGGCCGUGGCUGGUGGCUGGACUGGGAGAGCGCUCAGAGAACAGGGGACAUUGGAGAGGGCGGGUUGGGGUUAAGACCAGUUAGUGGAGGAGGCCGCAGGCUGAAGGACGGCUCAGGGAGGGGUGAUUCGAUGGCCGGAACCCGGCAGCUCCAGGAGUCACUGGGACCGAAGGCGGCGCCAGAAUGCCAAGCGGGGUCCCGGCAGGGUUUGGAGCAGGAGAAGUUGUUUGCAGUUCACUACCAGCCAGGCCACUGCUGGGUGGUUUAA
RNAcentral lists this long non-coding RNA (1206 nucleotides) under Macaca fascicularis (crab-eating macaque). RNAcentral describes it as "lncRNA (ENSMFAG00000064633.1)". The record is from RNAcentral. Lineage: Eukaryota; Metazoa; Chordata; Mammalia; Primates; Cercopithecidae.